AGUGAACGCUGGCGGUAGACCUAACACAUGCAAGUCGAACGGCAGCACAGUAAGAGCUUGCUCUUACGGGUGGCGAGUGGCGGACGGGUGAGGAAUACAUCGGAAUCUACUUUUUCGUGGGGGAUAACGUAGGGAAACUUACGCUAAUACCGCAUACGACCUACGGGUGAAAGCAGGGGAUCUUCGGACCUUGCGCGAUUGAAUGAGCCGAUGUCGGAUUAGCUAGUUGGCGGGGUAAAGGCCCACCAAGGCGACGAUCCGUAGCUGGUCUGAGAGGAUGAUCAGCCACAAUGGAACUGAGACAAGGUCCAGACUCCUACGGGAGGCAGCAGUGGGGAAUAUUGGACAAUGGGCGCAAGCCUGAUCCAGCCAUACCGCGUGGGUGAAGAAGGCCUUCGGGUUGUAAAGCCCUUUUGUUGGGAAAGAAAAGCAGCAGGUUAAUACCCCGCUGUUCUGACGGUACCCAAAGAAUAAGCACCGGCUAACUUCGUG
RNAcentral lists this ribosomal RNA (492 nucleotides) under uncultured bacterium. Its description in RNAcentral is "partial 16S ribosomal RNA". It matches the Rfam family "Bacterial small subunit ribosomal RNA", at positions 29 to 507 of the family's 1533-position model. The record is from RNAcentral.